Molecule: transfer RNA, 90 nt
Filed under: Desulfosporomusa polytropa
Lineage: Bacteria; Bacillati; Bacillota; Negativicutes; Selenomonadales; Sporomusaceae
Also listed under: 12 other names
Description: tRNA-Ser
Rfam family: tRNA
About the family: Transfer RNA (tRNA) molecules are approximately 80 nucleotides in length. Their secondary structure includes four short double-helical elements and three loops (D, anti-codon, and T loops). Further hydrogen bonds mediate the characteristic L-shaped molecular structure. tRNAs have two regions of fundamental functional importance: the anti-codon, which is responsible for specific mRNA codon recognition, and the 3' end, to which the tRNAs corresponding amino acid is attached (by aminoacyl-tRNA synthetases). tRNAs cope with the degeneracy of the genetic code in two manners: having more than one tRNA (with a specific anti-codon) for a particular amino acid; and 'wobble' base-pairing, i.e. permitting non-standard base-pairing at the 3rd anti-codon position.
Source: RNAcentral
GGAGAGGUGUCCGAGUGGUCGAAGGUGCUUGACUCGAAAUCAAGUGUCCUGUCAAAGGGACCGUGGGUUCGAAUCCCACCCUCUCCGCCA